Molecule: non-coding RNA, 24 nt
Filed under: Arabidopsis thaliana (thale cress)
Lineage: Eukaryota; Viridiplantae; Streptophyta; Magnoliopsida; Brassicales; Brassicaceae
Source: RNAcentral
CGAUAUUAAUACAAGAUGGUAUAC